RNAcentral lists this transfer RNA (75 nucleotides) under Chitinophagales bacterium. Its description in RNAcentral is "tRNA-Val". It matches the Rfam family "tRNA". From Rfam's summary of the family: Transfer RNA (tRNA) molecules are approximately 80 nucleotides in length. Lineage: Bacteria; Pseudomonadati; Bacteroidota; Chitinophagia; Chitinophagales. The record is from RNAcentral.
GGGCGAUUAGCUCAGUUGGUUCAGAGCGCUUGUUUGACAGACAAGAGGUCGGCAGUUCGAAUCUGCCAUCGCCCA